RNAcentral lists this ribosomal RNA (429 nucleotides) under Fusobacteriota bacterium. Its description in RNAcentral is "Fusobacteria bacterium partial 16S ribosomal RNA". It matches the Rfam family "Bacterial small subunit ribosomal RNA", at positions 355 to 776 of the family's 1533-position model. Lineage: Bacteria; Fusobacteriati; Fusobacteriota. The record is from RNAcentral.
UGGGGAAUAUUGCGCAAUGGGCGAAAGCCUGACGCAGCGACGUCGCGUGAGGGAUGAAGGUUUUCGGAUCGUAAACCUCUGUCAGAAGGGAAGAAACCGCACUGUGCUAAUCAGCAGUGCCUUGACGGUACCUUCAAAGGAAGCACCGGCUAACUCCGUGCCAGCAGCCGCGGUAAUACGGAGGGUGCAAGCGUUAAUCGGAAUUACUGGGCGUAAAGCGCACGUAGGCUGCUUUGUAAGUCAGGGGUGAAAUCCCACGGCUCAACCGUGGAACUGCCUUUGAUACUGCUUAGCUUGAAUCCGGGAGAGGGUGGCGGAAUUCCAGGUGUAGGAGUGAAAUCCGUAGAUAUCUGGAGGAACAUCAGUGGCGAAGGCGGCCACCUGGACCGGUAUUGACGCUGAGGUGCGAAAGCGUGGGGAGCAAACAGG